RNAcentral lists this ribosomal RNA (336 nucleotides) under Triticum aestivum (bread wheat). RNAcentral's name for it is "partial small subunit ribosomal RNA". The record is from RNAcentral. Lineage: Eukaryota; Viridiplantae; Streptophyta; Magnoliopsida; Poales; Poaceae.
AUGUCAGGAACGGAAAGCGAUCAUGUCCGUGAGCUAUGUACUAGAAUGGAUGUGGUAGGGCAAGGUCUUUUUAGAAUAAACGAAGACGGAGAAUCUUUGAUGAGGACUAAUCUUCCCAUUUUGUUGGCUAUAGUUUUCACCCCUGGCGUCUACAACGAAAUCAAUAUUGAAUACUCAUGGUCCCUUGAAGAUAUGUUAACUGUGCAAAAUCUUGACUGGUCUGGUGAAACCAUUGAGGUUUUAUUGGCCCAGGUUGAAUAUCGUAAUAUUUACUCUCUUUUCCAAUCGGUGAAACAGAUAAACGCCACAUCUGGAUUGGUGAAUAGCUUCUGUUGA